GAUCUAGCUUGCUGGAUGCUGACGAGCGGCGGACGGGUGAGUAAUGCAUAGGAAUCUGCCCGAUAGUGGGGGAUAACCUGGGGAAACCCAGGCUAAUACCGCAUACGUCCUACGGGAGAAAGGGGGCUCCGGCUCCCGCUAUGGGAUGAGCCUAUGUCGGAUUAGCUAGUUGGUGAGGUAACGGCUCACCAAGGCCACGAUCCGUAGCUGGUCUGAGAGGAUGAUCAGCCACAUCGGGACUGAGACACGGCCCGAACUCCUACGGGAGGCAGCAGUGGGGAAUAUUGGACAAUGGGGGCAACCCUGAUCCAGCCAUGCCGCGUGUGUGAAGAAGGCCCUCGGGUUGUAAAGCACUUUCAGCGAGGAAGAACGCCUAGCGGUUAAUACCCGCUAGGAAAGACAUCACUCGCAGAAGAAGCACCGGCUAACUCCGUGCCAGCAGCCGCGGUAAUACGGAGGGUGCAAGCGUUAAUCGGAAUUACUGGGCGUAAAGCGCGCGUAGGUGGCUUGAUAAGCCGGUUGUGAAAAGCCCCGG
This 535-nucleotide ribosomal RNA is filed under the name uncultured bacterium. RNAcentral's name for it is "bacterial SSU rRNA". It matches the Rfam family "Bacterial small subunit ribosomal RNA", at positions 72 to 607 of the family's 1533-position model. The record is from RNAcentral.